CACUAGAACUUGUCACUAAAUAAAAGUGCAAAAAAACUAAAAUAUUAGUUAGAAAAAUAAAAUAUUAUUCGUGAUAAGAAUUAAAAUUCUAUCACUAAAAGGCAUCGGUGACAAUAAUUACUUGUCAUAGAAAAUAUUUUCUUGUCACAGAAAAAAAAUUCAAUGACAAUAUUUACUCGUCACUGAAACAACAAAAUAUUAAGCACCAAACCCC
RNAcentral lists this long non-coding RNA (214 nucleotides) under Elaeis guineensis (African oil palm). RNAcentral's name for it is "long non-coding RNA (EGUI_LNC032021)". Lineage: Eukaryota; Viridiplantae; Streptophyta; Magnoliopsida; Arecales; Arecaceae. The record is from RNAcentral.